RNAcentral lists this ribosomal RNA (254 nucleotides) under uncultured bacterium. Its description in RNAcentral is "partial 16S ribosomal RNA". It matches the Rfam family "Bacterial small subunit ribosomal RNA", at positions 524 to 776 of the family's 1533-position model. The record is from RNAcentral.
UACGGGGGGGGGCAAGCGUUGUUCGGAAUUACUGGGCGUAACGGGUGCGUAGGCGGUUCGCUAAGUUGGAUGUAGAAACUCUGGGCUUAACCCGGAGCCUGCAUCCAAUACUGACGAGCUAGAGUUCUGGAGGGGGUAGCGGAAUUCCUGGUGUAGCGGUGAAAUGCGUAGAUAUCAGGAGGAACACCGGUGGCGAAGGCGGCUACCUGGACAGAGUCUGACGCUGAGGCACGAAAGCUAGGGGAGCAAACAGG